This 253-nucleotide ribosomal RNA is filed under the name uncultured bacterium. RNAcentral's name for it is "partial 16S ribosomal RNA". It matches the Rfam family "Bacterial small subunit ribosomal RNA", at positions 524 to 776 of the family's 1533-position model. The record is from RNAcentral.
UACAGAGGUCCCAAGCGUUGUUCGGAUUCAUUGGGCGUAAAGGGUGCGUAGGCGGCGCGGUAAGUCGGGUGUGAAAUUUCGGAGCUUAACUCCGAAACUGCAUUCGAUACUGCCGUGCUUGAGGACUGGAGAGGAGACUGGAAUUUACGGUGUAGCGGUGAAAUGCGUAGAUAUCGUAAGGAAGACCAGUGGCGAAGGCGGGUCUCUGGACAGUUCCUGACGCUGAGGCACGAAGGCCAGGGGAGCAAACGGG